This 484-nucleotide ribosomal RNA is filed under the name uncultured bacterium. RNAcentral's name for it is "partial 16S ribosomal RNA". It matches the Rfam family "Bacterial small subunit ribosomal RNA", at positions 30 to 507 of the family's 1533-position model. The record is from RNAcentral.
AUUGAACGCUGGCGGCAGGCCUAACGCAUGCAAGUCGAGCGGAUGAAGGGAGCUUGCUCCUGGAUUCAGCGGCGGACGGGUGAGUAAUGCCUAGGAAUCUGCCUGGUAGUGGGGGAUAACGUCCGGAAACGGGCGCUAAUACCGCAUACGUCCUGAGGGAGAAAGUGGGGGAUCUUCGGACCUCACGCUAUCAGAUGAGCCUAGGUCGGAUUAGCUAGUUGGUGGGGUAAAGGCCUACCAAGGCGACGAUCCGUAACUGGUCUGAGAGGAUGAUCAGUCACACUGGAACUGAGACACGGUCCAGACUCCUACGGGAGGCAGCAGUGGGGAAUAUUGGACAAUGGGCGAAAGCCUGAUCCAGCCAUGCCGCGUGUGUGAAGAAGGUCUUCGGAUUGUAAAGCACUUUAAGUGGGGAGGAAGGGCAGUAAGUUAAUACCUUGCUGUUUUGACGUUACCAACAGAAUAAGCACCGGCUAACUUCGUG